RNAcentral lists this ribosomal RNA (433 nucleotides) under uncultured bacterium. RNAcentral describes it as "partial 16S ribosomal RNA". It matches the Rfam family "Bacterial small subunit ribosomal RNA", at positions 29 to 507 of the family's 1533-position model. The record is from RNAcentral.
AACGAACGCUGGCGGCAUGCCUAACACAUGCAAGUCGAACGAGACCUUCGGGUCUAGUGGCGCACGGGUGCGUAACGCGUGGGAACCUUCCCUUAGGUUCGGCAUAACUCUCCGACAGGGGUGCUAAUACCGGAUAAUGUCUUCGGACCAAAGAUUUAUCGACUUUGGAUGGGCCCGCGUUGGAUUAGCUAGUUGGUAGGGUAAAAGCCUACCAAGGCAACGAUCCAUAGCUGGUCUGAGAGGAUGAUCAGCCACACUGGGACGGAGACACGGCCCAGACUCCUACGGGAGGCAGCAGUGGGGAACAUUGGACAAUGGGCGAAAGCCUGAUCCAGCAAUGCCGCGUGAGUGAUGAAGGCCGUAGGGUUGUAAAGCUCUUUUAACCGGGAUGAUAAUGACAGUACCGGGAGAAUAAGCUCCGGCUAACUCCGUG